Molecule: ribosomal RNA, 727 nt
Filed under: uncultured Phaeodactylum sp.
Lineage: Eukaryota; Bacillariophyta; Bacillariophyceae; Surirellales; Neidiaceae
Description: bacterial SSU rRNA
Rfam family: Bacterial small subunit ribosomal RNA
Source: RNAcentral
GUGGCGGACGGGUGAGUAACACGUGAGAAUUCGCCUUUAGGAGGGGGAUAACGAGUGGAAACAUUCGCUAAAACCCCAUAUGCCCCAGGGUGAAAAAGAGGAAAUUAGUAAUACUGAAUAACCUCUGCCUGAAGAGAAGCUUGCGGCUGAUUAGCUAGUUGGUAGGGUAAUGGCUUACCAAGGCGACGAUCAGUAGCUGGUCUGAGAGGACGAUCAGCCACACUGGAACUGAGACACGGUCCAGACUCCUACGGGAGGCAGCAGUGAGGAAUUUUCUGCAAUGGGCGAAAGCCUGACAGAGCAACGCCGCGUGAGUGAAGAAGGUCUUCGGAUUGUAAAGCUCUGUCGUUUGGGACGAACGUGGGAUGUGUGAAUAAUGCAUUCUAAUGACGGUACCAAAGGAGGAAGCCACGGCUAACUACGUGCCAGCAGCCGCGGUAAGACGGAGGAUGCAAGUGUUAUCCGGAAUCACUGGGCGUAAAGCGUCUGUAGGUGGUCAAAUAAGUCAACUGUUAAAUCUUGAGGCUCAACCUCAAAAUCGCAGUCGAAACUAUUCGACUAGAGUAUAGUAGGGGUAAAGGGAAUUUCCAGUGGAGCGGUGAAAUGCGUAGAGAUUGGAAAGAACACCGAUGGCGAAGGCACUUUACUGGGCUAUUACUAACACUGAGAGACGAAAGCUAGGGUAGCAAAUGGGAUUAGAUACCCCAGUAGUCCUAGCCGUAAACAA